AUAUGUGCUCUGGUUUGUGCUGUGUGGAGAAAAUACCAUGUCUGGUCUUCUCAAUUGGCACGCCUCCUGGCUCAGGCACCACUGGACUCCAAUGUUCAGAAAACGGACAGUUCUCAUGUUGAGCUCAUCUGCAUUAAAGAAUCAGAAGCAAAUAGCAUCUACCCUAGGAUCCACGCUCAGAGGAUCUGUCUGCUUGCUGGUGUCUUGCCCUGGCCUCCCCUGGGUGCUGUUUGCCUGCCCAGGUCACUGAGACCAGCAGAUCCUUCUAUGCUUUGCUGAACCUGGCUGGUAAUAGCUAUCUGACUCUUCAAUUCUUCCAUACAUUGAACUAGUUGCUCCAGUGAAUCACUUUUCUGGCCCACCGUGUUCUGUCUCUGCCUCUCUGUCUCUCUCAUAUAAUUCAGCAAAUAUUUUAAAACAAAUAGCUGGCCGGGCAUGGUGGCUCAUACCUGUAAUCCAAGCACUUUGGAGGCCAAGGCGGGCGGAUCACCUGAGGUCGGGAGUUCAAGACCAGCCUGACCAACACGGUGAAACUCCGUCUUUAAAAAAAACAAAAAACAGAAAAACAAAUAGCUUUAUAUGAACAAAGGGGCUAGAUCAUGAACUGCUCUAGUUAUUUGGAAAUCUAGGUUCUGGUCCUGCUAUCUCUUUAACUUGAGUUAUUUACAAGUCUGUUUAAAGGUUUCUAGACAUACAUUAGUUUGGUUUUUGUUUGGCUAUCAUUUUGUUUUCCACUUCUAAUGGUAUUGCAUCGUGGUGAGA
Molecule: long non-coding RNA, 762 nt
Organism: Sapajus apella (tufted capuchin)
Lineage: Eukaryota; Metazoa; Chordata; Mammalia; Primates; Cebidae
Exons: 2
Source: RefSeq, a predicted model, not a curated record